RNAcentral lists this ribosomal RNA (375 nucleotides) under uncultured organism. RNAcentral's name for it is "partial 16S ribosomal RNA". It matches the Rfam family "Bacterial small subunit ribosomal RNA", at positions 527 to 896 of the family's 1533-position model. The record is from RNAcentral.
GUAGGUGGCAAGCGUUGUCCGGAAUUAUUGGGCGUAAAGCGCGCGCAGGCGGUUCGUUUAAGUCUGAUGUGAAAGCCCACGGGCUCAACCGUGGAGGGUCAUUGGAAACUGGAGAACUUGAGUACAGAAGAGGAAAGCGGAAUUCCACGUGUAGCGGUGAAAUGCGUAGAGAUGUGGAGGAACACCAGUGGCGAAGGCGGCUUUCUGGUCUGUAACUGACGCUGAGGCGCGAAAGCGUGGGGAGCAAACAGGAUUAGAUACCCUGGUAGUCCACGCCGUAAACGAUGAGUGCUAAGUGUUAGGGGGGUUUCCGCCCCUUAGUGCUGCAGCUAACGCAUUAAGCACUCCGCCUGGGGAGUACGGCCGCAAAGGCUG